Long non-coding RNA from Nicotiana attenuata, 981 nucleotides. RefSeq lists it as uncharacterized. The record is from RefSeq and is a predicted model, not a curated record. NCBI's taxonomy places the organism in Eukaryota, Viridiplantae, Streptophyta, Magnoliopsida, Solanales, Solanaceae. The transcript has 2 exons.
AACCAGAAAAUCAGAUCAGACCCUUAGAAAAGAACGAAGCAGCGGCGCAUCUGAGAGGAGAUUCCUCUCCAUUUUUCACUCAACAAUAGAGAUCUCCUCCUUAACCCAGAAAACUAUCAGCCAAUGCCUUUCUCUUUGACUCUCAUAUUUUCCCUCCUCUAACCAUAACCUCACUCAUACAAAAAAAAAUAAAAACAAAGAUCUGAAAGCAAAUUUCUAGAUCCGAAAUUGCAUCUCAAAUCUGGAAACCGAAGCUUCACGAGAAAUUAAAAAAAAAAAGGAAACAAAACAGAAGAAUUUCUGAAAAUUCAACUUCGAUUUUUAGAAACACAAAAAAAGAAAGGAAAAAAAAAAGUUUUCAUCAGCUGGGUUCCACUCUCGGAUAUCUGGAUUUCAGUUUUUUCUAAAUGUGAAGUUUGAGUUUUAACUUCAAUUUCUGUUGCUCGCUGCUAUAUUAUCAAGCUAUGACUGAGUCGCGAUUCGGAGGCUUAUUUUCUUCCUCUUUAUUCUGCUGUUGCGCCACUGUUUAGGCUAUAAAGUUGUUGGAGUUCUUCUUUGUUAAUUUCUGAUGUUAGCAUGCGUUGAAGCUGCAAUUCAAAUUGCUAAGUGUUCAUCAAUUAAUAUAGAAUAUUGUAUGGGUUAAGGCGAGUUUGCUUAUAUUGUUACAGAUGAUGCUAUUGUGACUUACUUUUGUCCGCGUCAUUUUUAUCCAUGAAUCAGUGUAUGUAAGGCAUGGACAUAUAGGUUAUACUUGUGCAAAUAUGUAGUUCCAGUGAAUUUUUCUUUCUGUGCAGUACUCAUUUAGCUUUCAUAUUUAGUGAUCAAAUGUGAAUAUUAUAUUUAUUGGCUGGAAAUCCAUGAAUUAUUUAGAAAGUAGUCAUGCCUAGCAAUUAUCUGAUCCUAAUUGUAUUUGGUUGUCAUUCAUGAGCGGGCAGUACAUCCAAGAAUGUGAGAUUAUGCUACGUUGAGGUUUUUCCUUUA